This is a non-coding RNA of Vicugna pacos (alpaca), 649 nucleotides long. The record is from RefSeq and is a predicted model, not a curated record. NCBI's taxonomy places the organism in Eukaryota, Metazoa, Chordata, Mammalia, Artiodactyla, Camelidae.
AGAAAAGCAAGGACGGAGAGAAAUCCGUUAGUGGCGGCAGAGCAGAGUCAGAUCAGUGCGCUCCUGCUGGUGAGAGGCUGCAAGUCCAGGGCGGUGCACCCUGUGUCCCCAGGACCCAUCUCGCAGGCCCGCAGGCCACAAUGGUUUCCUGUGCGUGUCACCGUUGGUGAGGCCGUCCACUGGAAUACUAAUGGGAAGGCUAAGAAAAGUCGGCGUGCCUUGUGAGGGAUGGGUUAGAAAGGGAAACUGGGACCACCUAAGCGGGAAGUAACGUGCUUGAAGCCUACCAGCCUGGCUCUCAAAAUCAUGAAGGUCAUAGGAGGAAGAAGAGCAUAAUCUCAGAAUAAAAGGGACAGGCCUUUCAAAGGAAUCAAUUUAGCAAGCUGAAAAACUCAUGAUGUUUUCCUGCAGUUUGCAGAAGACAGGUGACUGUCAGCGUCCAUCCCAGUGUUUGGGAGCCUCUGUCUACGUCCUCUCACCAGAUCUGCAGCCCUGUCCCUGUGGGUCCUGACAGGGCUCCUGUAGCUUUACUCACCUCUGGAGCAAGGAACAAGGUCACCUGGACUUGAUCUUUCCCCUAGAUGGAAGGCCCCCAAAUGAAGUGCAUCCACCGAAAACAGAAGUAAACAUGGGGUCGGAUAAACCUGGG